AUGGAGACUUCAGGAUCACUUCAAGACCACAGUCAAGUUCAUGGAGAAUCAGAAAAUCUAGACUAUGGAGAGACGGAUUUCCACAAGCAAGACCGGGAGGCCAGACUCAUUUCUCAAGGACAAAAUGAGAGAGACAAGUCUUCCUCCUCUUCGUCGUCCUCCUCCUCCUCCUCCUCGUCCUCCUCGUCCUCUUCCUCAGAGAACAGUGAUGAGGACCCGCACCCCCGAGUAAGCAGAGAACGUCGGCACAGCCAGGGGGCUGGACUCCCCCGCAGGGGCGGCUCACCCGGUAGGCAGUAGGCCUCGGCAUUUCUCCUUUGUCCACUCAGUGGAACUAAGUGUGUCUGUGUGAAGCUGUUCCUUUCAGCAUUGUUUAUAGUAGGGCAACCACAGAAAUAACCUAAUGUCCAACAGCACAGCAGAGCUCUGGUCUUUAUCCAGAGCUGGUCUUUUUCUCUAAAGCGAAAAAGAGAAAUUCAAAUCAUAGGGUUGGUUUGAUCUCAUAUCAGUUCAGUUCAGUCGCUCUUUGCGACCCCAUGGACUGCAGCACGCCAGGCCUCCCUGUCCAUCACCAACUCCCGGAGUUUACUCAAACUCAUGUUCACUGAGUCGGUGAUACCAUCCAAUCAUCGCUUCCUCUGUCGUCCCCUUUUCCUCCUGCUUCCAACCUUUCCCAGCCUCAGGGUCUUUUCAAAUGAGUCAGUUCUUUGCAUCAAGUGGCCAAAGUGUUGGAGUUUCAGCUUCGGCAUCAGUCCCUCCAGUGAACAUUCAGGACUGAUCUCCUUUAGGAUGGACUGGUUGAAUCUCCCUGCAGUCUAAGGGACUCUCAAGAGUCUUCUCCAACACCACAGUUCAAAAGCAUCAAUUAUUUGGCACUCAGCCUUCUUUAUGGUCCAGCUCUCACAUCUGUACAUGACUACUGGCAAAACCGUGGCUUUGACUAGAUGGACCUUUGUUGGCAAAGUCAUGUCUCUGCUUUUUAAUAUGCUGUCUAGGUUGGUCAUAGCUUUUCUUCCAAGGAGCAAGUGUCUUUUAAUUUCAUGGCUGCAGUCACCAUCUACAGUGAUUUUGGAGCCCCCCAAAAUAAAGUCUGUCACUGUUUCCAUUGUUUCCCCAUCUAUUUGCCAUGAAGUGAUGGGACCAGAUGCCAUGAUCUUAGUGUUUUAAAAGUUGAGUUUUAAGCCAGCAUUUUCACUCUCCUCUUUCACUUUCAUCGAGAGGCUCUUCAGUUCCUCUUUGCUUUCUGCCAUAAGGGUGGUGUCAUCUGCAUAUCUGAGGUUAUUGAUAUUUCUCCCAGCAGUCUUGAUUCCAGCUUGUGCUUCAUCCAACCCCACACUUUGCAUGAUGUACUCUGCAUAUAAGUUAAAUAAGCAGGUGACAAUAUACAGCCUUGACGUACUCCUUUCCCAAUUUGGAACCAGUCUGUUCCAUGUGCAGUUCUAACUGUUGCUUCUUGACCUUCAUACAAAUUUCUCAGGAGGCAGGUAAGAUGGUCUGGCAUUCCCAUCUCUAAGAAUUUUCCACAGUUUAUUGUGAUCCACAUAGUCAAAGGCCUUGGCAUAGUCAAUAAAGCAGAAAUAGAUGUUUUUCUGGAACGCUCUUGCUUUUUCUAUGAUCCGACAGUAGUUGGCAAUUUGAUCUCUGGUUCCUCUGCCUUUUCCAAAUCUAGCUUGAACAUCUGGAAGUUCUUAGUUCAUGUACUAUUGAAGCCUUGCUUGGAGAAUUUUGAGCAUUACUUUGCUAGCAUGUGAGAUGAGUGCAAUUGUGCAGUAGUUGGACAUUGUUUGGCAUUGCCUUUCUUUGAGAAUGGAAUGAAAACUGACUUUUUCCAGUCCUGUGGCCACUGCUGAGUUUCCCAAACUUGCUGGCAUAUUGAGUACAGCACUUUAACAGCAACAACUUUUAGGACUUAAAAUAGCUCAGCUGGAAUUCCGUUACCUCCACUAGCUUUGUUUGUAGUGAUACCUUGUAAGGCCCACUUGACUUCAGACUCCAGGAUGAUUGGCCCUAGGUAAGUGAUCACACCAUCGUGGUUAUCUGGGUCAUUAAGAUCUUUUUUGUAUAGUUCUUCUGUGUAGUCUUGUCACCUCUUCUUAAUAAGUUCUGCUUCUGUUAGGUCCAUACUAUUUCUGUCCUUUAUCGAGCCCAUCUUUGCAUGAAAUGUUCCCUUGGUAUCUAAUUUUCUUAAAGAGAUCUCUAGUCUUUUUCAUUCUGUUGUUUUCCUCUAUUUCUUUGCAUUGAUCACUGAAGAAGGCUUUCUCAUCUCUCCUUGCUGCUCUUUGGAACUCUGCAUUCAGAUGGGUAUAGCUUUCCUUUUCUCCUUUGCCUUUAGCUUCUCUUCUUCUCUCAGAUAUUUGUAAGGCCUCCUCAGGCAACCAUUUUGCCUUUUUGCAUUUCUUUUUCUUGGGGAUAGUCUUGAUUACUGUCUUCUUUACAGUGUCACAAACCUCCAUCCAUAGUUCUUCAGGCACUCUGUCUAUCAGCUCUAAUCCCUUGAAUCUGUCUGUCACUUCCACUGUAUAACUGUAGGAGAUGUGAUUUAGGUAAUACCUGAAUGGCCUAGUCGUUUUCCCUACUUUCUUCCAGUUAAGUCUGAAUUUGGCAAUAAGGAAUUCAUGAUCUGAGCCAUAGUCAGCUCCGGGUUUUUGCUGUUUUUGCUGACUGUGUAGAGCUUCUCCAUCUUCAGCUACAAAGAAUAUAAUCAAUCUGAUUUUGGUGUUGACCAUCUGGUGAUGUCCAUGUGUAGAGUCAUCUCUUGUGUUGUGUGUUGUUAGAAGAGGGGAUUUGCUAUGACCAGUGCGUUAAGAAUGCACUGGUUCUUUGCCCUGCUUUGCCCAUUAGCCUUUGCCCUGCUACAUUUUGUACUCCAAGGCCAAACGUGCCUGAUACUCCAGGUAUCUCUUGACUUCCUACUUUUGCAUUCCAAUCCCCUAUGGGGAAAAGGACAUCUUUCUUAGUGUUAUUCUAGAAGGUCUUGUAAGUGUUCAUAGAACUGUUCAGCUUCUUCAGCAUUAGUGGUUGGGGCAUAGACUUGAUUACUGUAAUAUUCAAUGGUUUGCCUUGGAAAUGAACAGAGAUCAUUCUGUCAUUUUUGAGAUUGUACCCAAAUACUGCAUUUUGGACACUUUUGUUGACUAUGAGGGCUACUCCUUUUCUUCUAGGGGAUCCUUGCCCACAGUAGUAGAUAUAAUGGUCAUCUGAAUUAAAUCUGCCCAUUUCAGUCCAUUUUAGUUCACUGAUUCCUAAGGUGUCGAUGUUCACUCUUGCCAUCUCCUGUUUGACCACUUCCAAUUUACCUUGAUUUAUGGACCUAACAUUCCAGGUUCCAAUGCAAUAUUGUUCUUUAUAGCAUUGGACUUUACUUCCAUCACCAGUCACAUCCAUAACUGGGCGUUGUUUUUGCUUUGGCGCCAUCUCUUCUUUCUGGAGUUGUUUCUCCACUCUUCUCCAGUAGCAUACUCGGCACCUCCUGACCUGGGGAUUUUAUCUUUCAGUGUCAUAUCGUUUUGCCUUUUCAUACUGUUCAUAGGGUUCUCAAGGCACGAAUACUGAAGUGGUUUGCCAUUCCUUUCUCUAGUUGAUCACAUUUUGUUGUAUCUUUUGUAAAAAAUGACCCAUAUGUGAUUAUAAAUAAGACUGGAAAGCAAAAUAUUGAAAUGUUAACAAUGGUUAUCUCUGGAUGGUUAUAUUAUGAAUGAUUUUUCUUUUCUUUUUUUUGAG
Molecule: long non-coding RNA, 3720 nt
Filed under: Capra hircus (goat)
Lineage: Eukaryota; Metazoa; Chordata; Mammalia; Artiodactyla; Bovidae
Description: lncRNA (ENSCHIG00000000812.1)
Source: RNAcentral